UUUUUAAAGUAAUAAUAUUAUUCUUUAUUCAAAAUGAAUUUUGCAAAGUUAUUUUUCUUUGUGUUCGCCUGUUUGUUGGUUUUGUCAACUGUUUCGGCAGCGCCUGAACCUAGAUGGAAGUUCUUUAAGAAAGUUGAAAGGGUUGGUCAGCACAUUCGUGAUGGAAUCAUCAAGGCUGGUCCCGCAGUCGCUGUGGUCGGCCAAGCUGCUACCAUCGCGGGAAAGUAGACUCUAUUACAAGAAAUAUAAAGACUAAUAUUACUUGAAUUAAGACUGAUGAGAGAAGCUUUUGGGAGAAAAUUUGUAUUAUUUUGAUUGGGAAUAAAAUUAUUUAUUGAAA
This is a long non-coding RNA of Helicoverpa zea (corn earworm), 340 nucleotides long. RefSeq lists it as uncharacterized. The record is from RefSeq and is a predicted model, not a curated record. Lineage: Eukaryota; Metazoa; Arthropoda; Insecta; Lepidoptera; Noctuidae. The transcript is spliced from 2 exons.